This 460-nucleotide ribosomal RNA is filed under the name uncultured bacterium. RNAcentral describes it as "partial 16S ribosomal RNA". It matches the Rfam family "Bacterial small subunit ribosomal RNA", at positions 338 to 795 of the family's 1533-position model. The record is from RNAcentral.
CCUAUGGAGGGCAGCAGUGAGGAAUAUUGGUCAAUGGGCGGAAGCCUGAACCAGCCAAGUAGCGUGCAGGAUGACGGCCCUACGGGUUGUAAACUGCUUUUAAACGGGAAUAACGCGCCUUACGUGUAGGGCUUUGCAUGUACCGUAUGAAUAAGGACCGGCUAAUUCCGUGCCAGCAGCCGCGGUAAUACGGAAGGGACGGGCGUUACCCGGAUUUAUGGGGUUUAAAGGGGGCGUAGGCCGCAUGUCAAGCGUGCUGGUAAAUGUCCGGGCUCAACCCGGGCCUUGAAGCGCGAACUGGCGUGCUGUAGCCCGCGGAAAGCAGGCGGAAUUCGUCGUUUAGCGGUGAAAUGCUUAGAUAUGACGAAGAACCCCGAUUGCGAAGGCAGCUUGCUGCAGCGGAACUGACGCUGAUGCUCGAAAGCGCGGGUAUCGAACAGGAUUAGAUACCCGUGUAGUU